GGUCACAUGACAUCUGUCAUCAACUAUUUUGUCAGGCGCUGAGCUUUAUCGGUUUACAGCUAACAGUAUGUCAGUAUACGCUUGUGGCUGCUUGAAUGUUAAAAUCCAUACAAGGGACAUCCACCCAGUUGACAAUAUUGGUGAUGAUGGUUCACAACCAUUCCUUGGUCGGAAAGUUGCAGAGGCAAUGUUGGAUGACAAAGGCAUUGUCAUAGAGCAGUCUUACCUGCUGCACCGACAGAGCACCAGCUCAGGAUGGGUGCAGUACCAGUGUGUCAACUGCAACUGGCGCACACAUGCACUUCGUACAUCGGACUCUCGUUCUGUGCUCAUCAACCUCCAGCUGGAGUCCGACCCGUCGGUCCUCCUCCGUCUCACCCGGUCCCCGGACUUCUCCCUAGUCUACCACAUCGUCAUGCAGAAUGACAACUUCCACGAUGUUCCCAUGCCAGAUGGGUCUGUGUACGAGUCUCUGGCAUCAGGGGUCUCCACUGUGGAAGAUCAGGCUGACAAUCUUGUUGAGCAAGAACAGGCUGCUAUGGAAGAACGCAUCAGGAACUUUGAGCACGAACAGAGGACAGUGUUUGGGCAGCUUCAGGCAAGGUGCGACAAGGAGAAGGCCCAGAUGCUGCGCCUUUUGAUGAAGGCUGUCAAUGAUGUGCCGCAGUUAGACAGGGGAGACAACUCUCAGGGAAAGACUUCUGUUUCAGAAACAUCUAGAUCUCCCAGGUCGAUGACAAAUAGUGCCAAACCUUCUGUGGGAGGGCGCAGUGGUAGUACCAAGACACGAUCUUACAGUGAAUAUGAUCAGAACCCUGACUCUGAAGCUCUGUUCUAUCUUGAUGAGUUGGAGCCCGAGCUUGAGGAGCCUUUCUAUGAGUCGGAUGAUGAUGUGCCUGGAAAACUCUCUGAGAGUAGCUUGUCCCACAACCGGACUCAAUCUGGCAGCGGAAAGACUGAUCUCUACUCCACAUCAGUACCAAUCUCUGUCCCCAUGUGGCGAGGUCGAAGGUCAUCCAGCACAGAGGAAGAGGAGGAGGAAGAGGUGACCCCAGCUGACCCAGACCAGAUGGCAGCCAACAUGCAAGCACUGGCCCAGAGCAUCACCGACACUGGGCGCUACAUCUUUGGUGAACGUCCACGUCCUCGUCUAAACACCGGUGAUGCCAUGACCCGCUAUGCUGAACGGCCCCGACAGAGGCUCAACACAACUGACUCUGUCUAUUGCAGGAAGUGAAUCUUGAAUGACUGUGCGUUUCUACUUAAGGAUUGUCAUUGACAUUAUCACUAGUGUUGUGGUAUCAUAAAGAUGUUCUACUCUACCGGGUUGCGCCAGGAACAAGUGUCAGUAUGCUUCUUUCCUAGAUCUCUGAGACUCUUCAAGAACAAGUAGGGAAACAGCAUCUGUUGACUCAUUCCAUCUGAUCUCUUCUCAUACUCAGAUGACAUUGUCUCUCUAGGUUUUCACAAAAUAUCAAGGCUCAGGAUUUGGUAGUGAGUGAUCUCCCCUUCCAGUGUCAACUAAUUAAAACAUAUUUCAAGAAUCUUUUUGAACGGGUUGGUAGUAAAGAUAUUGGUACAAAGCGUUAGGACUGGUAAUAUCAUAAAGUUAUCAUUUGUGAGGGUUACCAAAUGUGAUUUAAAUACAUUUUGUAGGGUUUUUAUGUAGGGGGUUGACUCAUGGGAUCACUUCAGCAUUAUUCCAUCUCUUCUGUUGUUUCAUAUAAGAUGAUUAUCUGAAGGAUUACGUUAAGACAAAUCUUGAUCUGUUCGCAGAUCAAGUGCUUAACAUCAUUUGCUGUAGCUAGUCAUGAUUUUGUACAUAACUGGAAUAUGGAGUUUCCAUAGAAACAGCCAGAGUACAAGUGGUUGCACCACAGACAUUAUGGCUACUACACAAUCAAGUUAAGUACAUCAUAAACUAUCAGUAUCAGUCCAUGAUACAGGAUAGGAGGGUUCUGUACAUGUCAAGAGGUUUGUGUGCACGGUUUGAGAGAGGGCAUGGUUGUUUGCCCAGUGUAGUCAUGGCGAGAAGGAUACUAGCAGUGAGCAGACGUCCUUUGGUUUGCUGUCAAAUUCAUUUUUGGAAAACCUUCAUAUGAGGAAAAAAAUAAUUUCAUUACACAUUGUCAUCAUGAUUUUGUAAAAAAUGUCAUAUGUUGACUCCUAGUUGUAUGUAAAUUUAGUUGAAGGUGUCUAUAUUUAUCUUGUUUUUGUUUGCAAGGUUGAAUUUGCCUUGUCCAUUUCAUCAAAAGCAAGUGGCUUUUAUCUUCUGAAGCUGUUUGGACACAGACCUUGUUCAGUCUGGAAGAUUUGGGGAUGACACAAAUGUUCACCAACUCAUCAUAUUCACCAAUCACAGGAUGUGAGCAGUGUGAGACGUUGUAUGAUGCAGGUUACUGUAUACCAUUGAACCUAGUGUUGUAGUAAAGCAUUAUUAGAGUCAGCUGGAAAUGAUUUAUUUCUGAUUGCCAUACUGAUUUUUAGAACUCAAGUGCCAAUGUUAAAUUGUUCCUACUGUUUUUGUACCACUCAACGUUAACUAAGUGAAAUAGACAUCUUUACCCACAGAUGUGAUCCUUACAAAAUGUUGAAUAGUAUACCAUGUACAUAGCUCUGAGGAGUGUGCUAUUUGUUUUCACCUUUUAAUCAUCACCAACCUAUGAAUAUGGGAGUCAUCAGCAUGUAAAGUUUGUGUACAAACAUUGUGACUUUAUCCAGGGUUUAAAGAGAGGUCAUGUUUUUUUUCUUCAGAAAUUUCAGACAAGGUUCUAAAUUGUUUGAUAAACAUGCGAUGUGUUCUGGACGAGACCCUGCAUUUGUUCCAGCUAGUCCUGUACCAAUUUCAGACUAGUCAUUCCAUAACACCACGCCUUGACAAAUAUGCAAGUCUGUUAGACCAGUGCCAGGAUCCAGUUCCGCAGAGUGACUUAGCGACUGUUGAAAGUGACUGUAUGGGAGCUAGUCAUCUUAGCGUUAUGACUGUUGAAAGUAUCUUCGUGUUAUGGUUUUUCGGACACUUUUGUUAUCUUUUUAAUCGCUUGAAUAACUAUAAAAUGUCUCACAAACUUAUAAAGAUAACUUUAUCCUAAACACAAGCCAUCAUUCAAGAAUGUACUAUGUUUGUGUGAAUGAACACCCCUCGUUAUGGCCUGAGUAAACACUUCCCAUUUGAAAACACAUAUUGUCCGAAAACCUAUGAUGAAACGAUAACUUUAUUGCUCAACAUUUGAGAAGUGCACUGAGCUAUUUCAUGCUGCUGCAUAAGUAGAGGACCGCGACUGGGGUACUUGAGUUGUGUACUGACUUUCCAUAACUGAAUAUGCUCCAGUCAUAUGGGAUACUGUUUGUAUGACAAACUUGUCCCAUCACACAUUCAGGUCCCACACUUGAAUGUCUAUCAAAUGUUGUGUAGUAUAUAUUGGAAGUAGUGCUAUGACUGUGGAAAGUUAAUAUGUGAGUUAGAGCAAUCUUGGUGCUUUGCUUUGUGGAACUGGUCCAAGAAAAUUGAAUCGAAGUUUUGAUUAGUUUCACUUGCUAGCUACAAGUAUGAAAUUUCAGUGUAACUGCUUGCAUUGCCUAUAUGAGGAUGUGAAUGAAUAAGUGAUGUUAGUGUUAAGUUUUUGAAAGCAUUUCUAUUUCUUAGCCAUGAAUAUCAAUGUGUAACCUAAUUCUAGCUGGUUUUACGUUGUAAUGACGUUUGCUGAAAGGCAUAUCAUAGACAGACACGCACAAUGUAAACAUGAUUUAGUUCCGAGUAGUAAAUGUUCCGGUUCGGAAUAAAUGCCGUGGAAUAAAGAAUGGAUGACACGAACAUAAAUUCCGCACAUUCCAUCGAACAGGAACAAAUACCGUAGGCCUAACCUAUUCCAGUCAUUAUUGAAUGCAAAAUGGACUCGCCCAACUUGUCCACAUCCGGGAUUUCUCUAGCCCGAAAUACGUGUGAAUCAUGUUAGAUCUAGGUGAAAAUUAAAUUAAUAAGCGGCCAUUUGCCACACACAGCAGGAAGGUGCAACAGACGAUUAUGGAGACGAAUACACUGCUCAUUGUACUAUGUAUCGGACGAGAUCAAGGAUAAGUCUGCUCCAUUGAAGCUUGUAUUAACUAGUGACCAGAAAUUAACAACCAUCAGAAUGUGCCAUAUUGAUCACUGUAAGUUUACCAAGACUGUAGAUCAAAUUGAAAUACAACGAUAUUUGGACAAUUCUUCAGUAUUGUCAGAAUUUCGAUCAGGACCCUUAUCACCCGACAUGUAGAUAUUAUAUGUACAUCCUUGAAAUAAUAAUUUGAAAUAGAUGCACAGAUUUUUAAAGAAAGGUGAACCAUAUCUAAUGCCACUUUAGGCUGCCCUAUUACACAACCACCGAGUUAUAUGAUGUUAAACAAAUUUAAGGUUUAGCUUGCUAUUAGGUCGGGCCUAAAUGGCACUAAGUGAAUGCAUAUUAUCAAAUAUUGUGAUGGUGUUUAUUUGGAUUGGUACAUAUGCAUUAUACCAGAUACCUGCCUGCCAUAUUUAAUUCACGGUAGGUCACGUGAUGCGAGUACGGAAAGGUGAAAAAAUAUAAAACUGAGAUGAAAAUAACCCUAACCCUAACCCUGCUAAGUAUCCGGAAUAAUGCAUUCUAGCCAAGACAAAUGAUGCCACUGACGAGAAUACUGUUUUGAGUCCUAUUAUAAGGAACUUUCACACAUGAUAAUUGCUUCUUGAUAGUCACAGGAUUUGUUCCAUAUGUAGGAUGUGUGUGAAAGUUCCUAUUUACCCGGAAUAAAUUCUGUGUGUGCGGAACAAAAUAAUUGUUCCGCAUGCACUAUUACAGGAACAAAUAUUGGAAUGAAAAGUUCCCACGGAACUUUUACUAUGGAGGAACCAAAUCUUUUUUACAACAACUCAUAAUGCCUGUGAAUUGCUGAAAAUAUGAGUCUAAUACCUUAAACUUGCACAAUUUUCAAAUUGCCCUGGAUAAACUUAAAUAUAUCCAUGUUGAUAUUGAUUGUAUAAAUGCUACAGAACAAUUUACGUAAAUACCGAGUCUAGGCUUGUCUUUUUACCAGAGUUGGAAAUAAUUGAUUUUGAAUGGCUUUUAUGAGUAAGUGUGUGAUUAUAAAUGGUGACCUUGACCUUGAUUUUAUGAAUUUUGAUGUAAAGUCCCGACUAAAAAAAUAUAUACUGUGCUGCUUUUUUUGUACCAUGUACAGUGCUAGGCCAUUGGCUGAUAUUUUCACAAAAGUUGCCAAAGGUAUUCCAUGUGGACAUUAAUGAAUCAAUAACUUGUUACCAUGGUAACUUCAUGUACAUGACUCCAUCUUCUUCUGUAUCAAGGCUAUGGAAAUACAUGUAUUAUGAUGUGUAUGCCAUAUACUUUCAUCUCAACUCUUAAUAACUGCAGAGAUGCCAACCUCUACGAUUAUAUUGUAUACAAAUUUUAGCCUCAAACUGCGCCAAUACAAUUGCAUUAGAAAUUCUACAAAACUUGAAGAAAGUUCGUCAAAAUUUGGAUAUAUAGACAAAAACAUAUUAUUGUUGAUCAAAUACAUUUUCUCCAAAAAGAGACAAGAAGAUAUGUAAUGCUGAUAAUUUGGAAAUCUGUUGUUGGAGGUAUAUGAAAUUAAAGCUUCACUCUUGAUUAGUGUCAUAUUAUCUUUCAAUCUCUCUCCAUCAUGAUUUUAGGCAUUUAGUUGACUACUAAUUUAAUGGCCAAACUACUAAUUUUGAUUCAUUGAAACUACUAUUUGCAACACUUUGGGGUCGGCAUCUCUGUAAUCGCAACAAUUUAUGUGAUUAUGGUGUGAUCGAAUCCAUUUUUGAGCUUGAUUGUAGUGCUGAAUACCCUUGCCUGUAGUAUCUUAAGAAAGUAUCCUAUAAUCUUUGUUUAUUAAUAUUGUUGUCAUCGAGUACCCUGUAAUCACAUAAAGGUGCUUGUGACAUACAUUGCAUAUGGGCAAGGUGCCCUGUUGGUGAAGUGGUCUCAUAUUAUAUUUUGAAUGAAUGUUGAUUUCUUUUUAUGGUUUUCAUUGCUUUCUGAAACUGAUAUAUUUGUUCGCAUGUGUAUUUACAAACAUACCUUGAUAUUAACAUGACUGUCAAUAUAGAAUGCUUGAACUAUAUUUUCAGACAUUGCAAAAUGACACCAGUGGUAUGAGGCAUUUCUUAUUGUUUCUGGUCAGUAGUAUGUGCGAGAGAAUUAUCAGCAACAGUUUGGGGACUCACUGUCCUACUAUAGAAACAACACAGUGAUGAUAUGUGAUACCUUAAGAUGAAGAGGUGAAUAUCAAAUAUACAUGUAAUAGUGAAUACAAGUCGUCUGACUUACCAUAGAAAUUACCACUAUCUGUCCUACUAUAGAAACAGAACACAGAUGACCAGUGAUACAGAUGAUACCAAUAGAGGUGAAUAUCAAAUAUAUAUGUAAUAGUGAAUACAAGUCGUCUGACUUACCAAAGAAGUUACCACUAUCUGUCCUACUAUAGAAACAGCACACAGAUGACCAGUGAUACAGAUGAUACCAAUAGAGGUGAAUAUUAAAUGUACAUUUAAUAGCGAAUAGUCAUAAGACUUUAGAUAAAUAUGUAAUAUUUUAUAGACCCACCUGUAAAGUCGUUGAAUCACUUUGGAAUAUUCCACUCUUUCCCCGGUGGUCAGUCAACAAUGCUCUUGUGCAUUGACUGAAUAUUUUUUCAAGAUGUAAAACAUCCACUGUAAAUUUUUCCUUUACUGUAGUGUACAAAAUAUUAUUGAUUGGGUGUGACUGACUGUCAGUGAGUAUCUCAUUCAAGCACCAGCAGUGAAGACAGUAUGUUUAUCAUAGUGUUUGUGUAGCCUUUAAAGCGUUCCGCGUCACGCCAAAGACCCGGGUUCAAUUCCCCACAUGGGUACGUGUGAAGCCCACUUCUGGUGUCUCCCACCAUGAUGUUGCUGGUGUAUUUCUGAAAGUGGCAUGAAACCAUCACUCACUCACUAAAGAGGGAGAAUGAUGUUGGAUUGAAUGUUUUUAUACUGGGAUCCAUGUGUUUUAUGACAACCAUUCACCGAUUUGCUCUCCUGUGUCAUAAUGGUUCUUCACCAUUUGUCAAUAGCAUGUGUAUCUGUACUUGCAGAAUUAUUUCAUUGUGAUCCAUUUCAUGUCCACCUGCCUACCACAAGAAGUGGUAACUGUCAUUUGGCUAAUGUGUGCAGUUGUGAAAACAGAUACUAUUUGGUGGUUUGUUUUGGUUCAAAAUGGUUUCAAAUUGUAACAACAUAUCGUAAAGUCCUGUUUUGUAUGCUUCAAAGCUCAGUUGUGGCAAUUACAUUAUCAUUGCCAAACAAUAUUUUGUUUGUAUUUGGAGAGGAGGAUGGAUGAACUGAUGUUUUUCCCUUAGUGCAACUGGUGUCAGUUGUUGGAAGUUACUGGGAUUGAAAGUCUGUUGCCAUUGUAUAUAUUGUUUUUAUUUUCAAUGAAUGCUGCUAUUAUGAUUAUGAUUAUUAUUAUUAUUAAAGUGUUUUGUGUCAGUGCAUGAACAAAUACUGUUGAUUAAUGACAAUGGUCAAGGGCAUUAUGAGAUCCAGUUGAUUUUAUACUUAUAACACUCCAACCCUAUAGGUACUUUCUGGACAAGAUUGUCUAGCUCCAUGACAUGGCAACUAUGAUGUCAUCAACAGCAACAAAUCAUUUACUUAGCACAAAAACAUAUACUCCUAGAAAAUUCUAGGACUUUAAAAAAUAAAUUAUGCUUCAAACUGUUUUUACAAAAACCUUGCCUGCCUGGUCUGAAAUUUACCUUUACAAGAGGUUCUAUAUUGUUUUCAGACAGAGCAUUAAUUAGCAAGAUUUGAGUGCGUAAAUGUUGUAUGAAGCUUAUGACAAGUUGCAUAAUUAUUAUAGAUGUUAUAUAAUUUUUCCACACGUUCAAAAGCCUAAUUUCCAGAAUUCUAUUGUUAGUAUUAAAGCAGUGUUUCUUGUGCCCUGUGAAAUAUGGAGAUACAGAUGUAGACAAGAUUGUCCAGUGAGUUCCUAUACACGUGUGGCAUUUUUUGUACUCCUCAGUAUACUGGUCUGUAUAUAUUUGUUUGACUUGUAACCAACCUGAUUGUCGUGCCAUAAACCCAUGCUUCCAUCCAAAGUCUGGCAAUAUCGUAUAUUGUCCAAUAUUAUGUUAUCAUCUAGUUAACACUUCAAGGAUUGUGCCUGUUACAACUGACCUUCCAAAGUUCAGGCUGUUAUGUGGUAUCGGGCUUCCAUGCCAGAUAAGCCUUGUACACACCCAUCUUCCUCCUUGCUGCAUGCUGUUUCUUCAUAACUCAGUGGUCUAUUGGGAUUAUGGUGCACUGGAAUUUUCAAUGAUAAAGACAACAAACUGGUUUUGCAAGCCACUGACAGUAUCUAGCUGACUGGGCAUUAGGAUUCCAAUUUUGCCAAUAUUGACAUUUUCUCAUUCUAAGCUUGUUUACAGCAUUGUUUGAUCGACAUUCUAGAAGUUGGUGAGUCAAUAAUGAAGCAUACAACUUUAUGGAUGACAACUUCUUGUUUAUUGCAUGGAGCGAUGUUUCAGUGUAUAUUCUUACACUUUUAGCUUGAUAACGGUGUAAGAAUCGACACUAAAACAUUUCUCUAUACAAUAAACAAGACAUCAUCCAUAAAGUUGUAUGCUUCAUUAUUGUUUACAGCACUUUUCAUUCAUACUUCGAAAACAAAAAUCAUUUAUAUAUGACUUUUCAUCUUAAGCCAGGGCUGCUUCUUUCAAAUGUAUCAACUGUGCCAGUGGAAGUCUGAAUGUUUAUAUCACCUUAUAUUGUGCAGGUGUGUUGUUAUAAUGUUGUUUAUCGAAUACAUGUUGAUGCACAGUGUGAAAAGGGAAGGCAAUAAUGACCAGGUCGGUCUGUGUUAUACACUUCCCUUUUCUUUCAUAUUACUACAGUUAAUGUCAUGCCAUGACAGUUUAACGUAGUAAUGUCAAAGACUUGGGUGGUACUUCAAUUUCUUUUUAGUGGUACACAAGAUCACUAUUAUACUUUGGUUCAAUCUCAUUUAAUCCAUUGAUACCUCACAGGAAGAGGUAUCAGAUCAGUAUAAUAGGUGAGAUUGCUGUGUAUUGACAAAUUUGCACCUUAUAAAUACAAACUGCCAAAUUGCUGGGUUUUUUUACACUUUUCCACAUUUUCCUACAAUACAACUCCUCUUGUUUACUUUUAUGAUAAUCUAUGGUCUUCAGGUAACAUUCCGUAAAACUACAGUGAUUAAUAUUUCAAAGGCUCUGUACUGAUUUGCCAGCAUGAUUUUUUUACAAAUACAGGUGACAAGGCAAUCAGGUCGAUGAAGGCUUUUUUUUAUUACUUUCAAUGUAAAAUGUUUAAUUCUACAUUUCUUAUGGCCUAUUAAAUCAACAUGAACAUAAAUGUAAUUUAGAAUAUUUUUUCUUUAUUUCAAGUAUGUAAGUGAAACAUAUUUUUAUAAGUCAUUUUAUUUACAGAUGUGCUAAUUGCAAUUACAGUUAAUGAAAUUAAGAUAAUAUACCUAUUAAAGCAAUGCAAUUGAGGACUGAGACUUCAGCUGAUUCAACAAUAAACAUUCUUUUUAGAGUAAAUGUUUCUACUGGAUGUUGAGUUAUCAAGAUAUAAUUUGUAUUGAACAUUUUAGUGUCAUCAGCCAAGACAAGCGUUAAUCCUCCACCAACCAUUUCUGUUCAGAAGCUAGGAUGUCACAUGUUAACGCUGCAUCUUAUAUGAUGAUUUCGUAACAAUUGUUGCUAGAACUGGUUGUGAGAGACUCCAGUCCUGACCUCCAUAAGACCAUGUUUUUGCCCUGUUUGGUACAUCAAACUGCCAUUAUUUGUCAAACAGGCUACCAGUUUCAGGAGAUCCUGUUCAUUUUCACAUUGUAUCACACUUGGAAUUUGGACAACACUGAAUAAACAUAUGACUUUUA
This 9902-nucleotide unclassified non-coding RNA is filed under the name Haliotis rubra (blacklip abalone). RNAcentral's name for it is "uncharacterized LOC124281860, transcript variant X1". Lineage: Eukaryota; Metazoa; Mollusca; Gastropoda; Lepetellida; Haliotidae. The record is from RNAcentral.